AAAUUGAAGAGUUUGAUCAUGGCUCAGAUUGAACGCUGGCGGCAGGCCUAACACAUGCAAGUCGAACGGUAACAGAAAGCAGCUUGCUGCUUUGCUGACGAGUGGCGGACGGGUGAGUAAUGUCUGGGAAACUGCCUGAUGGAGGGGGAUAACUACUGGAAACGGUAGCUAAUACCGCAUAACGUCGCAAGACCAAAGAGGGGGACCUUAGGGCCUCUUGCCAUCGGAUGUGCCCAGAUGGGAUUAGCUAGUAGGUGGGGUAACGGCUCACCUAGGCGACGAUCCCUAGCUGGUCUGAGAGGAUGACCAGCCACACUGGAACUGAGACACGGUCCAGACUCCUACGGGAGGCAGCAGUGGGGAAUAUUGCACAAUGGGCGCAAGCCUGAUGCAGCCAUGCCGCGUGUAUGAAGAAGGCCUUCGGGUUGUAAAGUACUUUCAGCGGGGAGGAAGGGAGUAAAGUUAAUACCUUUGCUCAUUGACGUUACCCGCAGAAGAAGCACCGGCUAACUCCGUGCCAGCAGCCGCGGUAA
Molecule: ribosomal RNA, 533 nt
Filed under: Escherichia coli
Lineage: Bacteria; Pseudomonadati; Pseudomonadota; Gammaproteobacteria; Enterobacterales; Enterobacteriaceae
Description: bacterial SSU rRNA
Rfam family: Bacterial small subunit ribosomal RNA
Source: RNAcentral